This 344-nucleotide unclassified non-coding RNA is filed under the name soil metagenome. RNAcentral's name for it is "partial contains 5.8S ribosomal RNA, internal transcribed spacer 2, and large subunit ribosomal RNA". The stretch from base 1 to 120 matches the Rfam family "5.8S ribosomal RNA", at positions 35 to 154 of the family's 154-position model. The record is from RNAcentral.
GAUGAAGAACGCAGCGAAAUGCGAUACGUAAUGUGAAUUGCAGAAUUCAGUGAAUCAUCGAGUCUUUGAACGCACAUUGCGCCCCCUGGUAUUCCGGGGGGCAUGCCUGUCCGAGCGUCAUUGCUGCCCUCAAGCACGGCUUGUGUGUUGGGCCUCCGUCCUCCUCCCGGGGGACGGGCCCGAAAGGCAGCGGCGGCACCGCGUCCGGUCCUCGAGCGUAUGGGGCUUCGUCACCCGCUCUUGUAGGCCCGGCCGGCGCUUGCCGAAACAUCAAUCUUUUUUCCAGGUUGACCUCGGAUCAGGUAGGGAUACCCGCUGAACUUAAGCAUAUCAAUAGCGGAGGA